RNAcentral lists this ribosomal RNA (497 nucleotides) under uncultured bacterium. RNAcentral's name for it is "partial 16S ribosomal RNA". It matches the Rfam family "Bacterial small subunit ribosomal RNA", at positions 28 to 507 of the family's 1533-position model. The record is from RNAcentral.
GAUGAACGCUGGCGGCGUGCCUAAUACAUGCAAGUCGAGCGAACAGAUAAGGAGCUUGCUCCUUUGAAGAUAGCGGCGGACGGGUGAGUAACACGUGGGUAACCUACCUAUAAGACUGGGAUAACUUCGGGAAACCGGAGCUAAUACCGGAUAACAUUUAGAACCGCAUGGUUCUAAAGUGAAAGAUGGUUUUGCUAUCACUUAUAGAUGGACCCGCGCCGUAUUAGCUAGUUGGUAAGGUAACGGCUUACCAAGGCGACGAUACGUAGCCGACCUGAGAGGGUGAUCGGCCACACUGGAACUGAGACACGGUCCAGACUCCUACGGGAGGCAGCAGUAGGGAAUCUUCCGCAAUGGGCGAAAGCCUGACGGAGCAACGCCGCGUGAGUGAUGAAGGGUUUCGGCUCGUAAAACUCUGUUAUUAGGGAAGAACAAAUGUGUAAGUAACUGUGCACAUCUUGACGGUACCUAAUCAGAAAGCCACGGCUAACUACGUG